Molecule: ribosomal RNA, 253 nt
Filed under: uncultured bacterium
Lineage: Bacteria
Description: partial 16S ribosomal RNA
Rfam family: Bacterial small subunit ribosomal RNA
Source: RNAcentral
UACGGGGGGAGCAAGCGUUGUUCGGAAUUACUGGGCGUAAAGGGCGCGUAGGCGGUGCUCUAAGUCGGAUGUGAAAACUCUGGGCUCAACCCAGAGCCUGCAUCCGAAACUGGAGUGCUAGAGUUCUGGAGGGGGUAGCGGAAUUCCUGGUGUAGCGGUGAAAUGCGUAGAUAUCAGGAGGAACACCGGUGGCGAAGGCGGCUACCUGGACAGAAACUGACGCUGAGGCGCGAAAGCUAGGGGAGCAAACAGG